This 314-nucleotide signal recognition particle RNA is filed under the name Candidatus Poseidoniales archaeon. Its description in RNAcentral is "Marine Group II euryarchaeote signal recognition particle sRNA". It matches the Rfam family "Archaeal signal recognition particle RNA". Lineage: Archaea; Methanobacteriati; Thermoplasmatota; Candidatus Poseidoniia; Candidatus Poseidoniales. The record is from RNAcentral. RNAcentral also lists the same sequence under 1 other name.
UAGUUGGGCUAGGGGGAGUGUUGACGUGCUCUAUCAUCCACAAAUCGUCAAAAAUGGUGGCCUGAAGUCUGAGGGCGGCGAAUACGAGCCGAUGAUAACCCUGCGGUUAACGUCGAUGUCUCGCCCCCAAGAGAUCCAGGUUGGCGGAGAACACUUCCGUAGGGAAGUGUCGACCGUCUCAAGCUCGGGAAUCAGGUCAGGCGCGGAAGCGAGCAGCCCGACCGGGGAUGCUGGAUGCCUUGGGAAAGCGGGGCUGAGGAGAUCGUGGAACAUUUAUCGUUGGUGACGAGCGUCCACCGAAGACAUGCCCACUA